UGCUAAAAUUACACGUUUUUAACUGAAAUUGAUUGAAAAAUUUAAUCUUUUGGAAUUGAUAAAUUUUAGUCAUUUUCGUGAGUCCAGUGAGGCCACGCUAAUUUUUUUUGACAAAAAUUUCAAACGAUUCCGGUCGUACUGAUUAUUCUACUCGCAGAUGCCAAAAAAAAGGUUUUCACGCAUCUUUUGCAUUGUCAACUCCUGACACAAGACUCGGGCUAUGCGACGUUGAGCGACUUUUAUAAAGCACGUAUCUCCAUUCCAGAACAUCUCCUGUCUCCCUCGCGGCUGGUGCAUUCGCACGCAGCAGACCUCUCGCUUCCUCGAGACACGUGUACGCUGCAAAGCAGCCCCUCACCUCGCUCGUGGGCGCAUGAGCCCCACCCUUGCGAACAAUUCGCGAUGUAGCGCGCACAACCAGCCUACAGUCUCGCUCCGCGUAACUUCCUCGCCAAACUCGACGUUCCUUUUGCUAUUUUAAUCGAUAUAAUUCCUUCGGAAUUGUGGAUUUGGCAAUGAGGAACCUCCGACGGAUCCGCGGAGGAGAAUUUUCAGGGAUGAAAGACUCCGGCACAUCGGAGAGCACAGUGCAAAAUUUCACGAAUUUUUCUCCGUUUGCGGAGAACCUUUUCGUCGAGGGAACACAUUUACGGAAAAAUUCCCAAUCAUUUGAGCAUAUUUCUCCAAAUUCGUGACAUUCUCCUCAAUUUCUUCCAGGAUUUAAGUUCAAUUCAAAGUUCAAAGCGAAAUUCUUGACUUUCCGAAAGUAUUUCAUAAUCUCGAGGAAUUUCACUAGGUUUUCUGUAAUGGUGAGCGCCAUUUUGGAGUUUUAAGGACUUGUCAUGGUCUCGAGCACGUUUAGGUUCGCCCGAAGCAAGAGUUUGACAACUUCUCUAAUUAAGAGCCACCGAAAGGUCGUCGGAAUCCCUUCUAAUCCGGAGUAGAUGUCGACUCGUUAAUGUUGCAAGUUUUUUGAAUUGUUCAGGAGGUUCACCGCAAUCAAUUUCGGUGCAGGAGUCAUGAACUACGUAAAUUUUCAUCAGCCCUCUCAAAAGCGCUAACUCGGACGUGAACAUCAUUUUAAAAAUGUCGUUCCAAUACCAACGGGAAUAAAACAUUCCGCAACGUGCUUUCAAGAUUUCCUCUUGCUGGGGAGCGUAAACAAUAAAUUUAUGAAAAGUUACACUACUCGAGAUACUCCGUAAGCGUGCUGACCUUUCAUGCGUGUUACAUGAAAAUUGUGUAGACGCGGAUGCAUCCCACACGGACGUAAGGAAACUCUUACUAAAAUCAACGAAGUGGUACGAGCAGUGCAAACAAGACGGGCAAGAAGCUUACAGCGAGAAGUCUAAUUCGCGAAGCCGUUAAUCAGCAUUUUCUGAUUCGUAAAUUACGGUAAAUAAGAUCGUUUGCGACCUGGCAAUUCUCUUCGUAUUUGCUAUUGAUUAGGAAGAAUUCUGGUUUCGUUAACGAAAGUAUAAAAAUUCCGAGAUUUGCAUGCCAAAUUGUUAAAUUUUCGAAACUGAAGAUGUCGAAAAUUCAACAUCGUGGCGGCGUGGGGAAAAUUGGAAAUCGUGCUUUUUGGGAUUAUUUGACCCAAAUUUGCUUUUGGAUUUUCGAAACUUAAACCGGCAGGUUUGAGAUGACACGAAGAGGCGAAAUUUCAUUCUGCUCUUCGCCACAGUCCGAAGCUCCGAGACUCCGGUCGAAUGUUGGAUUGGCACUCGAUCGCCCGAGCCUGGACGCUGCAACAUCGAAGCAUCGUACAAUUUAAUAUUUUCGUAUUUCUCAAAUAUUCCAUUUGAGAAACUACGGAACGGAAAAUUUGAAAGGUCAGAAACGACGGGAGCAUGAAACGCAGCGACUGCCUCGUUUCGCGAGUCGCGUACGGGAGAGACGGGAGGAGUGGGAACGAAAAGCAAGUGGCAAUUCGAGGAGGCUAUUUUCCACUCUUUCUCACUUGGAGGAGUCGCAGCUCCGAUGGGAAUAGAAAGGGUGGUAGGAAUAUCGAUAUUCUAGCGUCUUCUAUGGAGUCCUGCUGCCAAGCUCAGACCGCCCUUACACGUGGCAGGGUUAAAGUGGCAUGAAAAAAUGCUCGCCGUGAAAUUGGAUCUCGAGGGGUUGCCAUGAGCUGAGAGAACACAGCAGAGAUGAAAUCAACUAAGCGGAGAAAGAACUUGAAUGCGCCAUGCCGGAGCUGGAUAAAUCGAGAGCCGGGCCGGGGGUUCGGUCGUAUAUCGAAAAGUGUCUUCCCGUAUAACGUCAUCGGCGACUCGUUUAUUUUCGACAUUGCGAUUUCGGCAGCGCGCGCGCACACGCGCGCAAGCUCAGAUUAUCCAAUUUUCUCUGCUUAUUUCUCGUACUGAACUAGCAUCCAGAAAAUCCAGUAAAAAUGUCAACUUCCUUCGCAGAUCCGAGAAGAUGCGCGAUGAAUUAACAACACACGCCGCUCGCAGCACCGGAUCUGCCCCGACACAGUGGUCGCUCAUCCCUCUGAAAAAAGAGCGAUUCAGAGAUUUGAGCUACGACGAGUACCACUGUACGUCUGCACUAGUUUUCCUUUCCUUUUUUUCGCAUAUACCCUUGGCGUUCCCCGGUGGGUUCUAAACGAGGGCGCCAAGUGCCAUACCUGCGCCGUUCCUCUGCGCGGAGGCGGCCGCCACCCUCUCUGCUCCGCGACUCGUCUUCACGCCACAACUUUCGCUCGGAGCGUCCUCUGCGGGUGACCCUCCCAAUUCCCCCCGACGAACGAGUCCCUCGACGCUAUUUUCAGCCCAUUGCCACUUCCACCGGGUGUUAUAAUACUAGUGGUUUCUCUCUCCUGUUUGCUCCGGCUGAAGUUUCAACGACGGGCGCGAAGGGUGAACAAAAACCAGAGUGAGGCUACGUCGUCGGGGCGAAUGUGGGUUAGAUUGAGGUAGGCAACCAUAGACGGCACCCACCGACGACCUUAUUCGAACCGCAGAUUUGACAUGACGCAAGGUCAUCGUGGAAACUCAAGAGCCAGACCGCCAAGGGAAUUACGAAGCACGAGGAGGGGCGAGGGGAGCUGAAGGCGGCUGUACGGACCUUGCGCUUCUCCCUUGUACACAAUCUUCGCUGAGGAACAGACGAAACUCCUGGCGAUUCGAGCCACUCGGCCUUUUAACUGCAUUACGUCUUGGGACAUCGUUGCCUUCGAGCCCUUCUCUUCUCUGCCGUACCGAACCCUGCCUCGUCUCUUCCUGUCUCCGGUGGGAUGUUUCAGCUGUUCAGUAACACGCGUUACUGCGGAUGUGGGACGACGACGGGUGGGGGGAUGAAAUGUUGGAGUUACUGAAAUUUCGAACAGCUGAAGUCUCGAGUUUAUAAAUAUUCGAACGAUAAUUUGGAGACUGAUGAAUUCGAUUAGAGGUUUGAAUGUUAGAGAUAAAUAGAGUAGAAACUUGAGAGUUCGGGGCAUGUUUACGUCGAAAUUAAAAUGUAAUGAUCGCCCAUGGAACGACGACUGAAAUAUCGAUUUUCCGAUAUUGGAUUAUGGAAGCAGGUUUCGAAAUAAAUGGCACAAAGUUUAA
Molecule: long non-coding RNA, 3554 nt
Filed under: Venturia canescens
Lineage: Eukaryota; Metazoa; Arthropoda; Insecta; Hymenoptera; Ichneumonidae
Description: uncharacterized LOC122416454
Source: RNAcentral